RNAcentral lists this long non-coding RNA (1089 nucleotides) under Gopherus evgoodei (Goodes thornscrub tortoise). RNAcentral describes it as "lncRNA (ENSGEVG00005006763.1)". The record is from RNAcentral. Lineage: Eukaryota; Metazoa; Chordata; Testudines; Testudinidae.
GUGAGGAGAAACCGGCGCCCGCCUGUCAGUGCCGCGCGGGAGGCGGCGGUGCCCGGAUGCAGCAGCGCAGCGCGCCCGACCCUAAGAUGGCGGCUCCGAGCAAGCAAUAUGGGCUUAUUUUGCCCAAGAAAGCAUUGCAGAAAACUCUGAUGUUGAAGAAACAUUCAGUCUUUGCAGAUGACUCUGAUGAGGAGGUAUUUUUGAAAUACAAAUCAGUGCUGUAAUAGCCUUAUCCAACUUCAUUUGAAGUCCUAUCCGGAUCUUAAUGAAAACAGUGCAAAAUUAGCACUGUUGUGUAUGCAGAUUCUCAUUUAUCUUAACACAAUAGGUAAGAAACAGAGUUGUACAUCUGAGAGUUGUCUGGUUAUGCCAUACUCAUUUGAAGUUACUCUGUAUAGUUUGAAAAGGAGCAUAAUUUAUCGCAGGUUUGUCACUUGUGAGUUAUGAGUCUAUACUCUGAAAAACACAGGUAAAAUUACACUAUGUCCCUAUGUUUGUAGCUCUGUCUGACAUGUUCUUCUAUUCCUGUGUAUAAAGGGAAAUAUUCCAUAGAUUUCUUUGGUGGCUGGGUGAGCAAGUUGAACAUAUUAUACAUGUGGACAAAAUAAAAGAUGAAAUGUUAUUGUAAGUCUCAGGAACAGAAUGAAGUAAGUGCACUGGUCAAGAUGUCUUUAUAAACAGAUUGGAUUAAACACAAGAAUGAAUUAUUGUUUUUAAAAUUUUACAAACAAAGGUCCCAAUCCUACAAAUCCUUACCCACACAGUUAAGUUUAUUUACGUGAAUAGUCUGAUUUAAUUUAGUGGUGCUACUUGUGAGAGUAAAGUUAAGGACAUGUUUGCAGGAUCUGGGCCAAACCUCUCAAAGGUUCCUUGACAGCUUAUUUUUGUUAAGCAUUCAUAAAAAUUGAGUUCAUAAUUGGCAUGGAGCAUAAUUAGGAAGUGAAAUGAUCUUCUAGAAAUCUAAACUUUGUAGAGUUUAAAUAAUUCCUGCUUUGUCAUUAAUUGAUUGGGAUAUGGAAGAACAACAUGUACUUUUUGUAUUUCUUUUCCUUGAUGAUGCAGUUUAAUUUCUGGAUGAUGACUUCCGUG